AACGCGAAGAACCUUACCUGGGCUCGAACGGCUUCGGACUAUCCUUGGAAACAGGGACUUCCCGCAAGGGACUGGAGUCGAGGUGCUGCAUGGCUGUCGUCAGCUCGUGUCGUGAGAUGUUGGGUUAAGUCCCGCAACGAGCGCAACCCUUGUCCUGUGUUGGCAUGCCGCAAGGCGCAACUCUCAGGAGACCGCCAGCGAUAAGUUGGAGGAAGGUGGGGAUGACGUCAAGUCAUCAUGGCCUUUAUGUCCAGGGCCACACACGUGCUACAAUGGGCGGUACAAAGCGCUGCCAACCCGCGAGGGGGAGCUAAUCGCCAAAAACCGUCCUCAGUUCGGAUUGCAGGCUGCAACUCGCCUGCAUGAAGCUGGAAUCGCUAGUAAUGCUAUAUCAGAACGAUAGCGUGAAUACGUUCCCGGGCCUUGUA
This 428-nucleotide ribosomal RNA is filed under the name uncultured Acidobacterium sp. Its description in RNAcentral is "bacterial SSU rRNA". It matches the Rfam family "Bacterial small subunit ribosomal RNA", at positions 958 to 1385 of the family's 1533-position model. Lineage: Bacteria; Pseudomonadati; Acidobacteriota; Terriglobia; Terriglobales; Acidobacteriaceae. The record is from RNAcentral.